RNAcentral lists this ribosomal RNA (494 nucleotides) under uncultured bacterium. RNAcentral's name for it is "partial 16S ribosomal RNA". It matches the Rfam family "Bacterial small subunit ribosomal RNA", at positions 28 to 507 of the family's 1533-position model. The record is from RNAcentral.
GACGAACGCUGGCGGCGUGCUUAACACAUGCAAGUCGAACGGUGAAGCGCCUUCCUUUUUGGUGGGUGUGGAUGAGUGGCGAACGGGUGAGUAACACGUGAGUAACCUGCCCCCUUCUUCUGGAUAACCGCAUGAAAGUGUGGCUAAUACGGGAUAUUCUGGGUCUGUCGCAUGAUGGGUCUGGGAAAGAUAUUGUUUCGGUGGGGGAUGGGCUCGCGGCCUGUCAGCUUGUUGGUGGGGUGAUGGCCUACCAAGGCGGUUACGGGUAGCCGGCCUGGGAGGGUGGCCGGCCAGACGGGGACUGCGGCCCGGCCGGGACUGAGACGGGGGGCAGCAGGGGGGAUUAUGGCACAGUGGGGGAAAGCCUAAUGCGGCGGGGCGCCGGAAGGAACGAAGCCCUUCGGGUUGUGAACCUCUUUCGCUAGUGAAGCGGGCCUGCCUGGUUUGUGGGGGGGUUGACGGUAGCUGGAAAAGAAGCGCCGGCUAACUACGUG